UUUUUUUUUUUUUUUUUUUGGCUUCUUCUCCUUCAUAAAUACAAAGUGAGAUAACUGUACUUUUAACAUUAUAACUGACUAAGAAAUUCCACUAUUUUGAUGACCUCCUAUCAGGAACAGCAUAAAAAUAUUACUAAAUUAAGAACUAGUAAUCUCUUAAGAGAGAGAGAGAGAGAGAGAAAGGGAUUGAGGGGAGGGAGUAACCAUUUUAUCACAAGAAGUUCCCAGUCAAAAUCCCAUCAUACCAAUGAUGAUUUUAGAUGUUCUAACAUGAAAUCCAGUAUUCAUUUGAGAAUAUUUUCUCCUGACUUAACAUGCAGUAUCCUCUGAUAGCAUUAAUUUUAAUAUAAUGAAAGGAAACUCUAUCAUCUCAACUAUUUCAUUUGCAUACUAUAAUUUCUAUAUGAUUCAGUUCCAUAUCAAUUUGAAGCCCAGGAGCCAAAAAUAAAUGUAUCAUUAUCACCAAAUUGCAGAAUUUUUUCUCUUUAUAAAGAUGAAUUUAUUCUUAAAAUAAAUUUAUUCUAAUCCAACUUGAAAUACCAGCCACUAUCACAGUAGACUAUUCUGAAGGCUAAAAGAAAAGCUAAGGGAUCCUCUGGUCUAAGUCAGAUCACUUUUAGAACCCAUCAAGGAGAGGGGUUUCAAACCCCAUCUUAGGAUUCCCAAAGGAAAGAAAUUUCAUAACAUCUCCCAAUAACUUCUUCUGCAGCUUUGACUAUAGGGUAUGACAAUAUAGCAAUGAAAUAUAUAUCCAUAAAUCAGUCUUGAAAAUCUUUCAUAUCCCACAAAGGGAAUUUCUCAGGUCACUAAACUAAUAUUUUACUUUUCCUGCAUUAGACAAGUUGUUAAGAUGAAAUUUUAGCAAGUUGUCUUUUAUUGAGCCUCUUAUUUUCUUUUUCCUUUAGUGUAUUUUAAUAAAUGACAUAAUACUUACUAAAAAUUCUUUAUUUUGACUUAAAGGAUUUAUUGUGAAACUGCCCCUAUGCUGAUCUUUAAUCAUUGUAGAUAAUAUUGUUAUCUAUGAUACUCUUCUAAAAAAAGGCCCAUACUUAUUCUCUCAUGUAAAGGAAGGAAGGAAGGAAGGAAGGAAGGAAGGAAGGAAGGAAGGAAGGAAGGAAGGAAGGAAGGAAGGAAGGAAGGGGUAAAGGAGGGAAGGAAGAAGGAAGGAAAGGGGGAAGGAAGAAGGAAGGGAAGAAAGAGGGAAGGAAGGAAGAGAGAAAGAGAGAAGGAACAGACCGAUACACAUUAGUGAUUGGUCAUGGAUAGCUGGAAUAUUUUUGCUGCAAGAAUACUAACCAAUCCUUUUAGGAAUUUUUUUUGUUUUGUUUUUUGUUUUUUUGUUUUUUUGUUUGUUUGGUUUUUUUCUUUUAGGAAUUAAGUACAAAUGCAAGUUUAUGAAAGUCUAUCAGUUCUUAUAGCUUAUAAGAUUGAACUUUCCUUUUUCAAAAGGACUCAUAAAUGUUUUUGUUUCACAAAGAAUGUUUAUCUUCUUGAGUUUCUUUCAUAUGCUCCUAAAGAGCAAUGUGGUUUUGU
This 1533-nucleotide long non-coding RNA is filed under the name Canis lupus familiaris (dog). RNAcentral's name for it is "lncRNA (ENSCAFG00845026470.1)". Lineage: Eukaryota; Metazoa; Chordata; Mammalia; Carnivora; Canidae. The record is from RNAcentral.